Molecule: long non-coding RNA, 341 nt
Filed under: Androctonus crassicauda
Lineage: Eukaryota; Metazoa; Arthropoda; Arachnida; Scorpiones; Buthidae
Source: RNAcentral
CUUCCUCUUUAUGUCACCCCCCCUGCCAAUGACAGAUAUGCACAUAUUUGGAUCGGUGAACGUCCAACGUUUAUUCAGUGACCAACUUAUUAAUCACGUUUUAACAAUGGAUAGGUUUACAACCGAUAUACGGGUUUAUAACGGAAGCGUGCGCUUACGGGGGAAAAAUUACACGUGUCAAACGUAUACGGAUAAUACCCGUAAUAAAAAUUUAUCGCUUACACGAAUAUACUAUAUUUAAACACUUACAUCAAUUAAUGUCAACCGAGUAACUCGAGAUAGUCUUAAAUUUUUGAGAUUUUUCCCCUCAAGAUUGCACGCAAUUCUUUUUUUUAAAGAUC